This 453-nucleotide long non-coding RNA is filed under the name Salvia miltiorrhiza (redroot sage). RNAcentral's name for it is "long non-coding RNA (SMIL_LNC012496)". The record is from RNAcentral. Lineage: Eukaryota; Viridiplantae; Streptophyta; Magnoliopsida; Lamiales; Lamiaceae.
CAAAACAUAAUGCAUAACUCCUCAGUGCCAACUAAAGCAGAUUUUCAACAUAUUGUGCCAACACUUGUGAUAGCAUCGGUGCUCAUCGACAUCAUUAAAUUCAUCGACAAAACUUCAAGCGCUGUUGAUGAACUCUCUCAGAAGGCAGGUUUUAAAUUGAAACCAGUGGAUCAUAAUCAAGUUGUAGUAGAUAUUGUCGAGAUUAAGACAGAAUCAUCGUAGAUCAAUAAUCCAAUUCAGUCAACGCAGAGUUAGAAAUAUUGUCGAGAUUAAGACAGAAUCAUCGUAGAUCAAUAAUCCAAUUCAGUCAACGCAGAGUUAGAAAUAGUGUCCUAGAGUCACCUAAUAUGCACUUUUUUUGGCAAUUAUGUGAGAGAUUUUAUUGUAUUUUUUUGGACUGAUAUAUAAAAAAAAUGUAUAUCCCUAUUAAGCUGCAAAUAAUGAAAUCACCUU